Molecule: ribosomal RNA, 254 nt
Filed under: uncultured bacterium
Lineage: Bacteria
Description: partial 16S ribosomal RNA
Rfam family: Bacterial small subunit ribosomal RNA
Source: RNAcentral
UACGUAGGCAGCAAGCGUUGUUCGGAGUUACUGGGCGUAAAGGGUGUGUAGGCGGUUGUUUAAGUUUGGUGUGAAAUCUCCCGGCUCAACUGGGAGGGUGCGCCGAAUACUGAAUGACUUCGAGUGCGGGAGAGGAUAGUGGAAUUCCUGGUGUAGCGGUGAAAUGCGCAGAUAUCAGGAGGAACACCAAUUGCGAAGGCAGCUCGCUGGGACGUUACUGACGCUGAGACGCGAAAGCGUGGGGAGCAAACAGG